AACGUAGGAGGCGAGCGUUAUCCGGAUUUACUGGGCGUAAAGCGUGUGUAGGCGGUACGGCAAGUUGGAUGUGAAAGCUCCUGGCUUAACUAGGAGAGGUCGUUCAAAACUACCGAACUUGAGUUUAUCAGAGGAAGAUGGAAUUCCCGGUGUAGUGGUGAAAUUCGUAGAUAUUGGGAGGAACGCCCGUGGCGAAGGCGGCUCUCUGGACCACAACUGACGCUGAGGCGCGAAAGCUAGGGUAGCAAACGGGAUUAGAAACCCCAGUAGU
Molecule: ribosomal RNA, 271 nt
Filed under: uncultured bacterium
Lineage: Bacteria
Description: partial 16S ribosomal RNA
Rfam family: Bacterial small subunit ribosomal RNA
Source: RNAcentral